This 446-nucleotide ribosomal RNA is filed under the name uncultured bacterium. RNAcentral describes it as "partial 16S ribosomal RNA". It matches the Rfam family "Bacterial small subunit ribosomal RNA", at positions 338 to 795 of the family's 1533-position model. The record is from RNAcentral.
CCUACGGGUGGCAGCAGUCGAGAAUCAUUCACAAUGGGGGAAACCCUGAUGGUGCGACGCCGCGUGGGGGAAUGAAGGUCUUCGGAUUGUAAACCCCUGUCAUGUGGGAGCAAAUUAAAAAGAUAGUACCACAAGAGGAAGAGACGGCUAACGCUGUGCCAGCAGCCGCGGUAAUACGGGGGUCUCAAGCGUUGUUCGGAAUCACUGGGCGUAAAGCGUGCGUAGGCUGUUUCGUAAGUCGUGUGUGAAAGGCGCGGGCUCAACCCGCGGACGGCACAUGAUACUGCGAGACUAGAGUGAUGUAGGGGGAAACGGAAUUCUCGGUGUAGCAGUGAAAUGCGUAGAUAUCGAGAGGAACACUCGUGGCGAAGGCGGGUUCCUGGACAUUAACUGACGCUGAGGCACGAAGGCCAGGGGAGCGAAAGGGAUUAGAUACCCUUGUAGUC